CAUUAGGGGGCAGUAUAAGGGCUGCUGUGUUGGCAUCACUAAGUUCUGCAGGGCUUACUGAGCAGCUCUGAUCCAGAGAUCAGGGAGAUUCCGCCCAGGGCCUUUCUGUUCUCCAGUCGCCCCGUAAUACAAAUACUUUGUCUUCCCCUGAUCUCAUUUCAACACUUGUGAAGAAGUCACGUGUUGAACUUUGACUUCUCCCCUACAGCCCUUCCUCCAGGGGGCGCUGGAAAGCGCAGCUAAAGACCUUCAUGACGCCACCUUUU
Long non-coding RNA from Cyprinus carpio (common carp), 266 nucleotides. RefSeq lists it as uncharacterized. The transcript is spliced from 3 exons. Lineage: Eukaryota; Metazoa; Chordata; Actinopteri; Cypriniformes; Cyprinidae. The record is from RefSeq and is a predicted model, not a curated record.